This is a long non-coding RNA of Etheostoma spectabile (orangethroat darter), 132 nucleotides long. RefSeq lists it as uncharacterized. Lineage: Eukaryota; Metazoa; Chordata; Actinopteri; Perciformes; Percidae. The record is from RefSeq and is a predicted model, not a curated record. The transcript has 3 exons.
AUAUGUGGUAUGAAAUGAAGUUGCAUAAUAAACUGGGCUUACAAUAACGUCUAGGUCGGCCUAAAACCUUUAUACAUACUUUUUUUACAUAGAAUAUUAAGCUAUAAAAAUAAUAAUUGUUGGCAUGAUUUU